This 66-nucleotide transfer RNA is filed under the name Diptera sp. 59 LC-2017. RNAcentral describes it as "tRNA-Phe". The record is from RNAcentral. Lineage: Eukaryota; Metazoa; Arthropoda; Insecta; Diptera.
AUUUAAGUAGCUUAUAAUUAGAGUAUAAUAUUGAAGAUGUUAUGGAGAUUAAAAAAUCCUUAAAUA